Labeo rohita (rohu) is the source of this 1222-nucleotide long non-coding RNA. RefSeq lists it as uncharacterized. Lineage: Eukaryota; Metazoa; Chordata; Actinopteri; Cypriniformes; Cyprinidae. The record is from RefSeq and is a predicted model, not a curated record. The transcript has 5 exons.
GAAAAAAGUGCACAAGGCAUGUCAUUACUCUAAAGAAUUUGUUAUACUUGAGCUAACUCAAAACAUUUGAUUUUCUGUCUAGCCAUCAGUGUAAUGUAAAAAGUUUGGUUGAUUUAAAUUAAAAGUAAGUCUUGUUAGUGUAAAGUAAAUACAUUUCUGUAAAUUAAAUUAAAAAUAUUGGUUUCCAUUGUCACGUGACUUCUAACGUCAUCCGUGGUCGUGCGUGUCGACGUUCAGCUUUCCGCCAUCUUGUUAUACCGCAUGGAUGAACUCGGCGUGGUAAAACGGGAAUCAAGAAAAUUGGAUGGGGUACAGCUGAACAACAAUUAUGACAGGUUUUGAAUAAACCAGUCACAUGAAAAACAUUAAUGCCGAAUUUUUGCGCAUCACUACCCUACAUUUAAAAUCGAGAAUUAUGGCCUCUUUGGACAGACAGAGCUCUUAGCUUCUCCAGGUUAUUAGGAGCAAAGGUGGAGUCCUCCAUGAAAAAAACGUUCAAGUUAUGGAUCAGAGUCUGGACAUAUGCAUCAGAAUAGAUCAUGUACCUUGGUGAAGAUGCAAGCUGUCUGAUCAAAGAAUACCAGGCUGACCAGAGGGAGGAAGCGGAGAGAGAAUUUGAAAAGACCACCAUGGCAUUUUUUGUAAUCCGCGAAAGUGAUGCUCUUAGUUGUGCACUGGGCAUUUCCAUUGUCACUGACGGUGUGGAAGUACUAAAUGAGUUGCUCUCUGUUGCAUGUGCUUGUGCCAUAAUGUUUGGACACAUUUAUGCACUGAACUUAAAAUAUCCUGAAGGACUCAAAUAUACCUUUGAGGCCUUUCAAAAAAUAAUCAUGGACAUAGAGAGUAAGCAGAUGAGCCGAAGGGUGCAGAACCUCUCUUCAAAGCUGCAGGAGUACAUUUGUUUCCUUUGACCCAGCUACAGUGUUCUGCUGAUGGUAAAUUUCUUUGAAGAUGUUGGACUGUAUAAAGCCUUUUAUACAAAGUUAACCGUACUACUGUUUACUAAACCUGAUUUGUUUUAUCUAUAAGUUGUGUUAUCUAGGGUUUGUUAAAUAGUUUACCCAAAAAUGAAAAUUCUUUCUUUGUUUACUCAUCCUUAAGCUAUUCAAGUAUUUAACUUUAAUUAAAUUUGGUUCAGAGACAUUUUAUGACAAUUUUGAUAAGUUUGAGAUAAUUGAGAUAAGUUUCAUUUUGGGGUAAACUAUUCCAUGAAGGUGAAAAU